UGCGGCUGGAACACCUCCUUUCUAGAGACAAAAAAAAGGAUGUGAUUUAAAAUUAAAAUUAAAUUAAAAUCUUACUCUCGCUGUUAAUUCAAAAAUAAAAAAAGGCUUAAAAUACAGAGUCUCGUAGCUCAGCUGGUUAGAGUACUACACUGAUAAUGUAGGGGUCGGCAGUUCGAGUCUGCCCGGGACUACUAUUUAAAGUUAUAAAAAAGGAAAUUCUAGAAGCGAAUUUUGAAUUAUAAAUUUUAAAUGAUGAAUUUGAAAAAUAAUUCAAAAAAAUGAUUCAACAUUCAAAAUAGACAAUGGGGGAUUAGCUCAGCUGGCUAGAGCGCCUGCCUUGCACGCAGGAGGUCAUCGGUUCGACUCCGAUAUUCUCCACCAAAGGCUUUAAGCUAUAUGCUUUAAGUCGUAAGCAAAAUGCCUAAGGCUUAUACCCUAAAGGUUAAAGCUUAAUAAAGUUCAUUGACAUAUUGAGAUAAACAUACAAACAAGUAGAAAGAAAAUAAAGCAAUACGCUGUAAGCAUAAAGCGUAAAGCAAAAAUAAAGAAAACAAUAAGCAAAAUAAGGGCGUAUGGGGAAUGCCUAG
This 587-nucleotide transfer RNA is filed under the name Flavobacterium columnare. RNAcentral describes it as "16S-23S ribosomal RNA intergenic spacer". The stretch from base 305 to 378 matches the Rfam family "tRNA". Lineage: Bacteria; Pseudomonadati; Bacteroidota; Flavobacteriia; Flavobacteriales; Flavobacteriaceae. The record is from RNAcentral.